GAAAUGCGAUAAGUAGUGUGAAUUGCAGAAUUCAGUGAAUCAUCGAAUCUUUGAACGCACAUUGCGCCCCUUGGUAUUCCAUGGGGCAUGCCUGUUCGAGCGUCAUUUGUACCUUCAAGCUUUGCUUGGUGUUGGGUGUUUGUCUCGCCUCUGUGUGCAGACUCGCCUCAAAACAAUUGGCAGCCGGCGUAUUGAUUUCGGAGCGCAGUACAUCUCGCGCUUUGCACUCAUAACGACGACGUCCAAAAGUACAUUUUUACACUCUUGACCUCGGAUCAGGUAGGGAUACCCGCUGAACUUAAGC
RNAcentral lists this unclassified non-coding RNA (304 nucleotides) under plant metagenome. RNAcentral's name for it is "partial contains 5.8S ribosomal RNA, internal transcribed spacer 2, and large subunit ribosomal RNA". The stretch from base 1 to 105 matches the Rfam family "5.8S ribosomal RNA", at positions 50 to 154 of the family's 154-position model. The record is from RNAcentral.